This 901-nucleotide ribosomal RNA is filed under the name uncultured Bacillota bacterium. RNAcentral describes it as "bacterial SSU rRNA". It matches the Rfam family "Bacterial small subunit ribosomal RNA", at positions 66 to 939 of the family's 1533-position model. Lineage: Bacteria; Bacillati; Bacillota. The record is from RNAcentral.
GCGCGAAAGGGGAGCAAUCCCCAAGUAGAGCGGCGAACGGGUGAGUAACGCGUGGGUAAUCUGCCUCCGAGUGGGGAACAACACCGGGAAACUGGUGCUAAUACCGCAUAACAUCGUCGGGUCUUCGGGCCUGACGAUCAAAGCCGGGGACCGCAAGGCCUGGCGCUUGGAGAGGAGCCCGCGUCCGAUUAGCUAGUUGGUGGGGUAACGGCCUACCAAGGCGACGAUCGGUAGCCGGCCUGAGAGGGCGGACGGCCACACUGGGACUGAGACACGGCCCAGACUCCUACGGGAGGCAGCAGUGGGGAAUUUUUCGCAAUGGGCGAAAGCCUGACGAAGCAACGCCGCGUGGAGGAUGAAGGCCUUCGGGUCGUAAACUCCUGUCGACCGGGACGAAAGUAGGAUGGCCUAAUACGCCGAUCUAUUGACUGUACCGGUGGAGGAAGCCACGGCUAACUCUGUGCCAGCAGCCGCGGUAAUACAGAGGUGGCAAGCGUUGUUCGGAAUUACUGGGCGUAAAGGGCGCGUAGGCGGCUUGGUCAGUCCCGUGUGAAAUCCCUCGGCUCAACUGAGGAACUGCACGGGAAACUGCCUGGCUUGAGUUCGGGAGAGGGAAGCGGAAUUCCGGGUGUAGCGGUGAAAUGCGUAGAUAUCCGGAGGAACACCGGUGGCGAAGGCGGCUUCCUGGACCGACACUGACGCUGAGGCGCGAAAGCUAGGGGAGCAAACGGGAUUAGAUACCCCGGUAGUCCUAGCUGUAAACGAUGAGUGUUGGUGUUUANGGGGGUUANCAACCCCCCCCUGUGCCGAAGCUAACGCAUUAAGCACUCCGCCUGGGGAGUACGGUCGCCAAGGCUGAAACUCAAAGGAAUUGACGGGGGCCCGCACAAGCGGUGGAACA